AUGCGUGCUUGUGCCAUUGAGGGAGGCACACAGGUCUUAUGCUUUGCCAGCAGUCUUUCUCAUCAGUGCCUGGUGGAUGCCCUUGGAAAAGACUUCAUGAGUGGAUAUGGACUCCACUUUAGAUCAGCAAAUCUGAUGGCACUACCACUCAAAGAGAUGCAAAAUACAACUGUGAUGGUUAAUACCGAGUGCCAACUUGAUUGGACUGAAGAUUUACUGACUUCAUAUCAGCAUUUAAGUAUUGUUAACUUUAUGCGUCCUCUUCCUGCCUGGUGUUGGUGGUUUGUUCUCAGAGGCUUGCGUCAGGAAGCUGAUAGGAAGGUGUCUUCAGGAAACGCUAAAAUUGGGCCCCCUGCCCCCAACUUCAAAGCCACAGCCGUUAUGCCAGACAGUCAGUUUAAAGAUAUCAGCCUGUCUGACUGCAAAGGAAAUAUGUUGUAUUCUUCUUUUACCCGCUUGACUUCACUUUUGUGUGCCCCACAGAGAUCAUUGCUUUCAGUGAUACGAAGAAUUUAAGAAAUUCAACUGCCAAGUGAUUGGUGCUUCUGUGGAUUCUCACUUCUGUCAGCUGGCAUGGAUCCACACCCCUAAGAAACAAGGAGGACUGGGACCCAGGAACAUUCCUUUGGCCUCAGACCCGAAGUGCACCAUUGCUCAGGAUUAUGGGAUCUUAAAGGCUGAAGAAGGCAUCUCAUUCAGGGGCCUCUUUAUCGUUGAUGAUAUGGGUAUUCUUCGGCAGAUCACUGUAAAUGACCUCCCUGUUGACUGCUCUGUGGAUGAGACUUUGAGACUAGUUCAGGCCUUCCAGUUCACUGACAAACACAGGGAAGUGUGCCCAGCUGGCUGGAAACCUGGCAGUGAUACUAUCAAGCCUGAUGUCCAAAAGAGCAAAGAAUAUUUCUCCAAGCAGAAGUGAGUGCUGGGCUGUUUUAGUGCCAGGCUGCAGUGAGAACCCCUGAGAACAAAAUCUCUUUUGUGUGUUUUUUUUUUUCCAUGAGUAAAAUACAAGACUUCAGAUUCAGCCGAAUUGUGGUGUGUUACAAGGCAGGCCUUUCCUACAGGGGGUGGAGAGACCAGCCUUUCUUCUUUUGGAAGGGAUGGCCUGAGUCGUAUUGUGAGGAGGCCACUGAUUUGUAUGAUGUGUCAGUAGAGGGCAUCAACCCAUUGAUCUUUUGUAGUUUGUAUUAAACUUGAACUGAGAAAAAAA
RNA transcript from Pan troglodytes (chimpanzee), 1207 nucleotides. It is a transcript of the gene named peroxiredoxin-1-like, with no coding region annotated. The record is from RefSeq and is a predicted model, not a curated record. NCBI's taxonomy places the organism in Eukaryota, Metazoa, Chordata, Mammalia, Primates, Hominidae. The transcript is spliced from 3 exons.